This 53-nucleotide ribosomal RNA is filed under the name Burkholderia sp. PSB.1. RNAcentral's name for it is "partial 16S ribosomal RNA". Lineage: Bacteria; Pseudomonadati; Pseudomonadota; Betaproteobacteria; Burkholderiales; Burkholderiaceae. The record is from RNAcentral.
AAGUCGUAACAAGGUAGCCGUAUCGGAAGUUGCGGGCUGGAUCACCUCCUUUC